RNAcentral lists this ribosomal RNA (433 nucleotides) under uncultured bacterium. RNAcentral's name for it is "partial 16S ribosomal RNA". It matches the Rfam family "Bacterial small subunit ribosomal RNA", at positions 29 to 507 of the family's 1533-position model. The record is from RNAcentral.
AACGAACGCUGGCGGCAUGCCUAACACAUGCAAGUCGAACGAGACCUCCGGGACUAGUGGCGUAUGGGUGUGUAACCCGAGGGAACCUGACCUUAGGUUCGGACUAACUCUCCGAAUGGGGUGACAAUACCGGAUCAUGUCUUAGGACCAAAGAUUUAUCGCCCUUGGUUGGGCAGGCGUUGGAUUAGCUCGUUAGUAGGGUAAAAGGCUAACAAGGCGACGAUUAAUAGCUUGUCUGAGAGGAUGAUCAGCCACACUGAGACUGAGACGCGGCCGAGACUCCUACGGGAGGCAGCAGUGGGGAAUGGUGGACAGUGGGCGAAGUCCUGAUCCUGCUAUGCCGCGUGAAUGAUGAAAGCCUUAAAGUUGUAAAGCUCAUGUACCCGGGAUGAUAAUGACAGUACCGGAAGAGAAAGCUCCGGCUAACUCCGUG